UUCGCCACCGGUGUUCCUCCAUAUAUCUACGCAUUUUCACCGCUACACAUGGAAUUCCACUCUCCCCUUCUGCACUCAAGUUAAACAGUUUCCAAAGCGUACUAUGGUUAAGCCACAGCCUUUAACUUCAGACUUAUCUAACCGCCUGCGCUCGCUUUACGCCCAAUAAAUCCGGACAACGCUCGGGACCUACGUAUUACCGCGGCUGCUGGCACGUAGUUAGCCGUCCCUUUCUGGUAAGAUACCGUCACAGUGUGAACUUUCCACUCUCACACUCGUUCUUCCUUAACAACAGAGCUUUACGAUCCGAAAACCUUCUUCACUCACGCGGCGUUGCUCGGUCAGGGUUCCCCCCAUUGCCGAAGAUUCCCUACUGCUGCCUCCCGUAGGAGUCUGGGCCGUGUCUCAGUCCCAGUGUGGCCGAUCACCCUCUCAGGUCGGCUAUGUAUCGUCGCCUAGGUGAGCCGUUACCUCACCUACUAGCUAAUACAACGCAGGUCCAUCUGGUAGUGAUGCAUUUGCACCUUUUAAACAUCUACCAUGCAGUAAAUGUUCUUAUGCGGUAUUAGCUAUCGUUUCCAAUAGUUAUCCCCCGCUACCAGGCAGGUUACCUACGCGUUACUCACCCGUUCGCAACUCACAGAAUACGGUGUAGUAAACUACGGUGCAUCCUGUGCGUUCUACUUGCAUGUAUUAGGCACGCCGCCAGCGUUCGUCCUGAGCCAGGAUCAAACCCUG
Molecule: ribosomal RNA, 738 nt
Filed under: uncultured bacterium
Lineage: Bacteria
Description: partial 16S ribosomal RNA
Source: RNAcentral